Molecule: long non-coding RNA, 3270 nt
Filed under: Homo sapiens (human)
Lineage: Eukaryota; Metazoa; Chordata; Mammalia; Primates; Hominidae
Description: HSALNT0331068
Source: RNAcentral
CUACUUGGGCUUUCCAGACUUUGCAGAGAAGAUCCUUCCAACCUACUGUCUAGAGGGCAGAGGCAAGGCUGCAAGCAUUCCGGAAGUCCAACAGGGGAGGGAGAGUGGAGGAAGGAGGCGUCUCAACAUCUGGAACCAUAUUUCCAUCAGAUGUGUUUCUCAAGCACUCUGCCACUCCUUUCUACCUCUCCUGCGUUUGAUCUGAGGACGGCCCGUUCCACAGGAACACAAAGGCACAGAAGAUGAAGUAACUUGCCCACGGCCACACGGUUGACACCAUGAAGGCUGAACAAAGGAUAUCUGGGGGCAAAAUCUGACCCAUGGGCUGCCCAUUGCCACCUCUGGGCAGCCCUCCUUGAUGGUGUGGAGUCCGCGGUCCGCAUUGGUUAACUUAACUGUGCUUCCUCAGAUCCAGUCUGGAAUUAAUUAUUGAAUUGUAUGCAUUUUCAAUGCCAUCCUCAAGCUAACAGCCAACUAUGCGGGGGAAUAAAACGGAGCAGAGAACCGAGUUGGGUUCCAGAGACCCCAGAUUGUCUUCAUUUGCAGUUGCCAGGUUCCCUGCAGCCCGGGUCUGUGGAUUUCCCGCGGCUCAGCGCCCGCAGCUCAGGCUCCGUGGAGCCCGGCGGCAUGGACGAGGCGUCGCGCGCGCCCUCUAGUGGAGAAAAAGGGUCACUGCCGAACGCCAGCUGCGGACCGUCGAGAGUUCCUUGGGCCAUGGCUCCUGCCGGGAGCAGCAGCCCUGGGGCCGGGAUCCAGGAUGCAGAGGCGAGAAAAUGAACUGCCCGGCCACCACGAAGACAACCCACCCCUUGCCAGUCACCCCUCAAACUACUGACAAUGUCAACAACAAUAAUUAUAACAAUCAUAUUAAUAAGUAGAAUGACAAAUAUAAUAAUAUUUAACAGUUUGUGAUUUUCAGCCCACAAGGUUUCGCCUACUGUGUAGAUUACUCGGGACUCUGCAGGCCAGUAGGCCAUGUAUAGAUGGACAGAAAGAGGUUUGUUAUCAGAAAUGGGCUCACAUGACUGAGGAUACUGUGAAGUCCCACGACCUGCUGUUUGCAAGUAGGGGAUCAGGGAAGCCAGUGGAGUAGGUCAGUCCAAGCCCAAAGGCCGAGAACCAGAGGAGCCGACGGCCCAGCUCAAGCAGAAAGAGUGGCACUCACCCUUCCUCUGCCUUUUGUUCUCUUCAGGCCCUCAGCAGAUUGCAGGACGCCCCGACACAAGGAAGGGCGAUCUUGACUCAGUCAGUCCACGGAUGCACGCUAACCCCUUCCAGAAACACCCUCACAGACACACCUAGAAAUAAUGUGGGGUUUUUGGUGUUUUACUUUUAAUUGCAUUUAUUUUAAUGCCGGAUGUAUUUCCGCGUUGCCAGCUCCUGAGCAUCUCUGAGCCCAAUCAAGUUGACACAUACAAUUAACCAUCACGCUGUGUCAGUUCAAUCAUUAAAAAUACGCAACACUCAGCCGGGCGCGGUGACUCACGACUGUAAUCCCAGCACUUUGGGAGGCUGAGGUGGGUGGAUCACAAGGUCAGGAGUUCGAGACCAGCCUGGCCAACUGGUGAAACGCCGUCUCUAAUAAAAAUACAAAAAAUUAGCUGGUCGUGGUGGCAGGCACCUGUAAUCCCAGCUGCUCAGGAGGCUGAGGCAGGAGAAUCGCUUGAACCCGAGAGGCAGAGGUUGCAGUGAGCCGAGAUCACGCCAUUUCAGUCCAGCUGGGAGACAGAGCAAGACUCCGUCUUGAGAACAAACAAACAAACAGACAGACAGACAAAAAAACACGCAACACUCUAUUAACGCAUGAAUGUAUUCUCACCGAACAAGAUUCAAACAGUAUGAAUGAACAUAUUGCAAAUGUUUUUAAGUGUUUUUGAAAACUUUCAUUUUGAAACAAUUUCAAACUUAGUUGAAAAGUUGCAAGGAUGGCACAAAAACCUUCUAUUAAUACAUAGCUUUUAGCAGGAUUCCUCAGUUGUUAACAAUUUGCCACAUUUGCUUUAUAAUUUUUGCUCUGUCUCUACAUACUUUUAAGAUCUGAGCCAUUUGAAAUAUAAUGCCCCCUUAUAAUAGUUCCGUGGGUCUUUCCUAAAAACAAGUCAUUAUCUUCCAUAAUCCAGUACAGUUGUUCAAAUCAAGAAAAUUAACAUGGAUGCAAUAGUAUUAUCUCAUCUGCAGACCUUCUUCAAAUUUCACCAAUUGUCUCAAUAAUACCAUCCUUUUUAGCAUUUUUUUGGCUGAUUCCCACUACAAACUAUGAAAGCACAAAUGUCUCUCCUCUGCCUUGCCCAGAGGUUCCUCUUUCAAUCAUAGGGGAGGUGCCGAUAGGGUCUGUCUUUCAUUUUUCUCAAUGGAAGCACAUUCCCCACUUCUCAAUUUGCCUUGGGAGCUCUUAUUUCAAUCUCUUCUCAAUCCUUCGAAGCAGGACUCCUCCCUAGCCAUAUUCUACACAGAAGGAAACAGAAACUCAGCGUGAGGACGGCUCCUGCCCUGCGACCUCAGGUCCCCCAGCUGCCUUGCUAAGAGUUGAACCGUGCCCCCAGCCCCUACCCUGAUACAUUUCAGCAAAUUGAUAUGCAAGGCCCCUUUCCAGGCCCUGGGAACAUGAAGAGGAAGUUGCUGAUGGCUGUGCUCAAAGACUUCCCAGGCUAGUGCAAGGGACAGGAGAGGGCGGCCCUGCUGGAAGCUCAGUGAGGAGCCCUGCGGUGGGGAGUGGUUGAAGCCGUUAAGUCCUCUGGUGACCUAUGGGUGUGGAGGCUGGACCAGAGGGCCUUAAGGGGUAGCCCUGCAGGUCCCAACCCCAUUCUUGGUGGAAGUGUUGGCUGAGGUCUCUGGAGUUGAGUGGGGUGGCAGAACUGGGCACUCUCAUGACAGGAGAGGGGGGAUGGGCAGGAGAGGUGUUCAGAAAAGGAGUGCAGGGAGGGCGGAAGAGCCGCUGUGUGAGUUUCCCCCAGCCCCUUGAGCAGCUGUGGGCCUCCUGCCCAGUCCCCAUGCUGGGACCGAGAGGGCAAAGCGUGCAGAGAAGGCUGCACACCCUGCAGCCUCAGCCAGCGCGUGAUAGGGGAGCUCUGGGCAGGGACAAAGCUGCAGUCCCUGUCCCUGAAUGUCGGGGCGGGGGGGGGCGGGGAUAGAAAGGAGAAAAUGGGGCAGAGAGAAAAGAAAGCGGUGGCGUGCACAUGCCCAGGCCCUUUGCUCCACUUUCCAUGCUAUAUGAGACACUUCCCAAAAUUCACACUCCCUGGGACCCUGAGGAUGGGGGCUGUAUCAGAG